Callorhinus ursinus (northern fur seal) is the source of this 86-nucleotide non-coding RNA. The record is from RefSeq and is a predicted model, not a curated record. NCBI's taxonomy places the organism in Eukaryota, Metazoa, Chordata, Mammalia, Carnivora, Otariidae.
AUGAGAACCUUAGCCUGUAUGUUUAUAAUUCUUUAGUUCUUAAUUCAUCAAAAUGCUGCCUUUUGGGAAAACCAUGUCAGCAUAGG